AGAGCGAACGCUGGCGGCAGGCCUAAUACAUGCAAGUCGAGCGGCCACUUCGGUGGCAGCGGCGGACGGGUGAGUAACGCGUGGGAAUGUGCCCUUUGGUACGGAACAACUGAGGGAAACUUCAGCUAAUACCGUAUGUGCCCUUCGGGGGAAAGAUUUAUUGCCAUUGGAGCAGCCCGCGUUGGAUUAGCUAGUUGGUGGGUAAAGCCCACCAAGGCACGAUCCAUAGCUGGUCUGAGAGGAUGAUCAGCCACACUGGGACUGAGACACGGCCCAGACUCCUACGGGAGGCAGCAGUGGGGAAUAGUUGGACAAGUGGGACGAAAGGCCUAGAUCCAGCAAUCGCCGCGUGAGUGAUAGAAGGUCCGUUAGGUUGUAAAGCUUACGUUUUACCGGAUGAGUGAUGAC
Molecule: ribosomal RNA, 408 nt
Filed under: uncultured soil bacterium
Lineage: Bacteria
Description: bacterial SSU rRNA
Rfam family: Bacterial small subunit ribosomal RNA
Source: RNAcentral